This 413-nucleotide ribosomal RNA is filed under the name uncultured eukaryote. Its description in RNAcentral is "SSU rRNA". It matches the Rfam family "Eukaryotic small subunit ribosomal RNA", at positions 567 to 990 of the family's 1831-position model. The record is from RNAcentral.
CCAGCAGCUGCGGUAAUUCCAGCUCUAAUAGCGUAUAUUAAAGUUGUUGCAGUUAAAAAGCUCGUAGUCGGAUGUCGGGCUCGGGGAGGCUGUCGGCCUUUGGUCGGAUGGCAUGUCCGGGCCUUUCUGCCUGGGGAUCCUACUCCACUUAACUGUUCGGAGUAGGGAUUAGGCCGUUUACUUUGAAAAAAUUAGAGUGUUCAAAGCAGGCCAACGCUUGAAUACAUUAGCAUGGAAUAAUGGAAUAGGACUUUGGUGCUAUUUCGUUGGUUUAUGGGACCGAAGUAAUGAUUAAUAGGGACAGUUGGGGCCGUUUAUAUUCCGUUGUCAGAGGUGAAAUUCUUGGAUUUACGGAAGAUAAACUUCUGCGAAAGCAUUCGGCAAGGAUGUUUUCAUUGAUCAAGAACGAAAGU